GGACUACUGGGGUAUCUAAUCCUGUUUGCUCCCCACGCUUUCGCACUUGAGCGUCAGUUAUAAGCCAAGAAGCCGCCUUCGCCUCCGGUGUUCCUCUCGAGAUCUACGCAUUUUACCGCUACUCCGAGAAUUCCACUUCUCUCUCUUAUACUCUAGUCUUCCAGUUUCACCUGCAUGUUCCCGGUUAAGCCGGGAGAUUUAACAAAUGACUUAAAAGACCGCCUACGCGCUCUUUACGCCCAGUAACUCCGAAUAACGCUUGCACCCUUCGUAUUACCGCGGCUGCUGGCAC
Molecule: ribosomal RNA, 292 nt
Filed under: uncultured bacterium
Lineage: Bacteria
Description: partial 16S ribosomal RNA
Source: RNAcentral